This 591-nucleotide long non-coding RNA is filed under the name Nicotiana benthamiana. RNAcentral describes it as "long non-coding RNA (NBEN_LNC006743)". The record is from RNAcentral. Lineage: Eukaryota; Viridiplantae; Streptophyta; Magnoliopsida; Solanales; Solanaceae.
UCUCAGGCUGGGGGAGAAGCACAGACUUCCGUCGCCCGUACCCCAGAGCAUUAUGUCUAGGUUGACCAAGUCCCAAAGGUCAUACCAGCACAACCGUUCGCUCCUAUUCUGCCUGAGGUUAGGGCAACAGCUUUUGAGGGGGAGCAUCUCAGGCUCGAGAGGUACAAGAAGUGCAACCCUCCUACUUUCAGCGGCUUGGCAUCAGAGGAUGCCUAGUGUUUUCUUGAGGAGUACCACUGUAUCCUCUGUACGAUGGAUAUUAUAGGUCUAGUGGGGUUGCAUUCCCUAUGUUCCAGCUUAUUAUUGGUGGCAAGUGUAUGAGUUGGGUAGUCCUGCCGAGGUAGCUUCACUCACUUGGGCUUAUUUCUCAGGAGGGGUACACCUAUAUAUACCACUCAGGCUCUGCGUAUUCCACCAGGUCCUCAUGACAUGGUGACCGUACCAGUUGCUACUCCAGCUGCAUAGCCAACUAGAGAUGGAGGUCAGAAAGUAGAGGUCACCCUAUUGGGAGAGGCUAGGCCAAAUAUUAUGGUCUUCCUGCUAGGACGGAGGCAAUUGCAUCUGACUCACUCAUCAUAAGUAUUAUUCCGG